Erpetoichthys calabaricus (reedfish) is the source of this 1234-nucleotide long non-coding RNA. RefSeq lists it as uncharacterized. The record is from RefSeq and is a predicted model, not a curated record. The transcript has 4 exons. NCBI's taxonomy places the organism in Eukaryota, Metazoa, Chordata, Cladistia, Polypteriformes, Polypteridae.
UUAAACAUAUUCAAAGCAUAAUAUAAAAAAAACUUGAAUGAGAAAUUUGAAGAACUAUGGUCACAAUUAGAGAAUACUUUCAGAUACAUCAUAGAUACUGUUGUUACUCUGACACCUGGUGCUAAUUUCCCUAAUUAUCUGACAAGCCCUAUAUAUUUGGCAGCACUGCUAAUUACUUUGCAAGAUGGCGAGCCAAUCAAAGGUGACUGAAACCCUGUGACAGCAGGUUGUCCAAAUGAAGGCAAAAUGUCUAACCAUUCCAGCCAUUGCAAGAGAAGCUGUUGUUCCAAGUCUGUGAUUUCUAGAAUAUUUCAGCUUUACAAUGACACCAAUUAUUGAAAAUUGUAACCCUCCAAAAAUUUUAGUUGUAAUCUUAUUUUCUACUACAAUGGAUACUGUUGUCUAUUUUGUCGGGAACGCACUGAUCAAAAUCAAAGAUUUUUGUUGAAGUGCCUUGAUUAUUUUGUAAGUAGUACAACAGUGAUAAUAUCCACAGUUACUAAUCCUUCAAAUUUUGAAUAAUGAAGAUUAACAAUAUUUAAAAAAAAAUAAGUGUUCAUAAAUGUUCUCUAAUUUUGAUCCCCAAUUUGUGUGUACAUGUAAUAUUUAAAACAAUGAGGUUGAUAUUAAUUACGUUUUAAGUUUCUAAGCAUUGCAAUUUUUUUUUAAUUAAUUCAAGUGUAUAUUCUAAAUAUUUAAGUUAUUCACAUGCAAAAUGCAGUCACACUAAUACUGAUAAACAACACAUGCCUACUUUAAGAAGUUGUGCUUGUACUCUGGUUACAUCAAGAUUUUCUUACUCUACCUAAUUAUCGGCACAUAUUGGAUAUUUACAUUUGUAUGUGUAAGACAUUUGUUUAUUUUUGUUACAGUAACAUGACAAAACAAAUAUCUUCAGGCACAUGGACACUAAUUAAAAACAAGAAUCUUCCACAGCAGUUGGUUGGGUCAGUGGAUUGUGGAGUAUUCAUGUUGAUGUAUGCUCUGCACCUUGUCUUGGAUGCGCCAUUUGACUUCACAGCUGUAAGCUUUCACUUAUGUCUCUGAUUAUUUGUUAAUAUCUGUUACUGGUUUUAAUGUUCUUUGUUUUUUCCCUCUGCAUGGCAGUGUGAUUUACCCUUGAUCAGGAGGUGCUAGUGCUUUAUUCUAUUGGAGAAUUUUGCUGUUGGAAGGUAUCUCUCUCUUUCUCUCUCUCCCCCUCUCUCUCUCUGUGCAGCUAACGUGUGAAUAUUUC